CCUACGGGAGGCAGCAGUGAGGAAUAUUGGUCAAUGGCCGCGAGGCUGAACCAGCCAAGUAGCGUGAAGGAUGACUGCCCUACGGGUUGUAAACUUCUUUUAUCAAGGAGUAAAGUGAGGCACGUGUGCCUUUUUGUGUGUAUUUUAUGAAAAAGGAUCGGCUAACUCCGUGCCAGCAGCCGCGGUAAUACGGAGGAUCCGAGCGUUAUCCGGAUUUAUUGGGUUUAAAGGGAGCGGAGAUGGGUGGUUAAGUCAGGUGUGAAAGUUUGCGGCUCAACCGUAAACCUGCACUUGAGACUGGCAGCCUUGAGUACAGGUGAGGUAGGCGGAAUGCGUGGUGUAGCGGUGAAAUGCUUAGAUAUCACGAAGAACUCCGAUUGCGAAGGCAGCAUACUAAAGUGCCACUGACAUUGAUGCUCGAAAGGGUGGGUAUCGAACAGGAUUAGAUACCCUAGUAGUC
This 460-nucleotide ribosomal RNA is filed under the name uncultured bacterium. Its description in RNAcentral is "partial 16S ribosomal RNA". It matches the Rfam family "Bacterial small subunit ribosomal RNA", at positions 338 to 795 of the family's 1533-position model. The record is from RNAcentral.